RNAcentral lists this small nuclear RNA (332 nucleotides) under Chinchilla lanigera (long-tailed chinchilla). RNAcentral describes it as "7SK RNA (ENSCLAG00000021980.1)". It matches the Rfam family "7SK RNA". From Rfam's summary of the family: 7SK was discovered as an abundant small nuclear RNA in the mid-70s but a possible function has only recently been suggested. Two independent studies have found that 7SK RNA binds the CDK9/cyclin T complex (known as elongation factor P-TEFb). Lineage: Eukaryota; Metazoa; Chordata; Mammalia; Rodentia; Chinchillidae. The record is from Rfam by way of RNAcentral.
GGAUGUGAGGGCAAUCUGGCUGGGACAUCUGUCACCCCAUUGAUCGCCAGGGUUGAUUAGGCUGAUCUGGCUGGCUAGGCGGGUGUCCCCUUCCUCCCUUAAUGCUCCAUGUGCAUCCCUCCCGAAGCUGCGCGCUUGGUCGAAGAGGACGACCAUCCCCGAUAGAGGAGGACCAUUCCUCCAUCAAGGGUAUACCAGUAACUGAGUUCCCCUGCUAGAACCUCCAAACAAGCUCUCAAGAAAACAAAUCAACAUUAUAAGUAGCGAUUGGAAGGAUAUCUGUCAUAUACUGUUAAAUUUUAAAAAGUAGUUCUUAAAGUAUUACUAUGUUU